GAUGAAGAACGUAGCGAAAUGCGAUAAGUAAUGUGAAUUGCAGAAUUCAGUGAAUCAUCGAAUCUUUGAACGCACCUUGCGCCCGCCAGUAUUCUGGCGGGCAUGCCUGUUCGAGCGUCAUUUCAACCAUCAAGCCCCGGGCUUGUGUUGGGGAUCUGCGGCUGCCCGCAGGCCCUGAAAACCAGUGGCGGGCUCGCUGUCACUCCGAGCGUAGUAGCACUCGUAUCUCGCUCAGGGCGUGCCGCGGGCUCCGGCCGUUAAACCGCCUCUUUAGCACCCAAAGGUUGACCUCGGAUCAGGUAGGAGGACCCGCUGAACUUAAGCAUACAAUAAGCGGAGGA
This 341-nucleotide unclassified non-coding RNA is filed under the name soil metagenome. Its description in RNAcentral is "partial contains 5.8S ribosomal RNA, internal transcribed spacer 2, and large subunit ribosomal RNA". The stretch from base 1 to 120 matches the Rfam family "5.8S ribosomal RNA", at positions 35 to 154 of the family's 154-position model. The record is from RNAcentral.